AACACGAGGGGGCGUGCGAGUACGCACUUGGGUGCUAGCGGGAAGAGCCGUUGGGCUACGGGAGUCGCCCCGCCCCCUGCGUCUCAUUGGUAAAGACGCAACACGUCCUUCGAGACGCAGGAGCGCGCACCGUCGCGAUGACGUCACCUGCGCGCCCUCAUGUCUGGCCAAAAGGAACUUGCACCAGCUAGAUCAAAAUAGCGGCUUUUAUUUCACAUUCCUCAAUACACAGUGCAUUGAAGUAUCUUCAGGAUCUGCAUGUGGAGUAUAGAUACCAAGUGUAAUCAAGGACAACUCCCAGGUUCUUAGUCCAAGAACUGGAAGGUCGAAGCUGAUAUUUAAUGAAAUGGAGAACUCUGCAAGAGCAGGUUUGGGAGCAAGGAAGCCUUGGAAUUCAGUUCUGGCCUGAAGGAGCAGAGAUGGUUCUGAUUUUAGAACAGAGGGAAGAAAGAGCACAGUGGAGCCACAUCAUGGCCCUUAAGGCUUCUUCUCAGGCUGGCACAAGUCACUUCUACUCAUAUGUCAUUGAUCAAAGUAAGUCACCUGGCCAACUCUGACAUCAAGAUUAAGUAUAAUCCUAGGACUGUAAAAAGCAGAAGGCAAAAAAUAUUUCAGAUAAUAAUACAGUACACUGCAGAUGCCUAUUUGACAUUUAAGUGGCAAUGUCACUAGGUAGUUGGAUGUAUGAAUCUGAAGGUCAGGAGAGAAAUCCAGGCUGCAUAUAUGAAUUUUAGAAUCUUUAGCAUGUAAUAUUUACAUUCCUGAAGUUAGAAGAGAUCACCAAAGGAGUAAGUAUAAGUAAAGUUCAGAGGACUGAGCCAGGGGCACUCUGGCAAUUUAGAAAUCAGAAAAGUGAGAAAUAAUCAACCAUGACUGAGAAAGAGUGGCCCUGGAGUAAGUGGUGUGCUGGAGGUAAAGCAAAGAUGAUCUCGGAUAAGAGGGGGUGAUGAGCUCUGUCAAAGCCUGCUGAUAGGAUACAAAGAGGACUGGCAGUUGAGUGGAAGUUGUUGUAAAGCUGAGAAAAGCAGUUUUACUGCUGGGGUUGGGGAAGAAGCCUCAUUCUAGUGGGUUUAAGAGAGAAUGGUAGUAAAUGAAGUAAAGGGAGCAAAUGUGAACAAAUUAUUCACAGGAAGAAAAAAGAAGGUACUGAAAGAAUGCCAAAGACAUAGCUACACUGGUAAAGAUCAGAGAAGCAGAGAUGCUGGAGUUCUGAGGACAGGAGCAGAGUGGCUGUUGCCAACUCAAAUACACAUCAUUUAAGUGCAUCUACUCAGGUGUCUCCAUUCCUCACCAUCUGAGGAAGCUACAUCAACCCACCACCCUUUCCCGAUCAAUUAACUCCACCUUUAUUACAUUUAAAAGUUUCUUUCCUUGUACAUCUUCUCUAAACCCCUGGUCUUGGAGUGCCCCAGAUUUUACUCCUUGCUCUUCUUCUCUAUCUGCAUUCACUUCCUUGAUCUUAUCCAGUCUCAAAGCUUGAAACAUCUAUAUGCCAUGACUCCCACAUUUCUAACUUUAUUCAUCCUUUUCUUCACAUCACAAUCCAACUGCAUACUUGGUAUUUCCAUUUGGGUGUCCAAUAGAUUGAACUCCUGCUGAUAACCCUACUAUAAACCUCUUAUUCACAGACCUCUGACCUCGGCUGAUGGCACUCUGAUCCUUCCACUUCUAGAUUCUGUGACUCCUCUGCUCAAAACCUCCAAUCCCAUAGGCAGAAUGAUUAAGAAACUUGCCCAGUGUCAUCCCAUUAAUCAAUGACAGAGGUGAGACCCCAACUCAAGCAGCUUGAUGGGAACCUGUGCUCUGCACCACAGUACUUUGACACAUGCAUAUGCUCAGGUUACACGAUGUUACGUCUAGUAUGAGUCCCUGUUAUAUAGACAUAUGGAUUUGUAAGAAAAUGCGAAAAGGAUAUAUACCAAUAUAUUUGCACUGUGAUCUCUGGAUGGAUAAGUUAUGGUUUGAUGUUUUUCCUUGAUUUUGUUUAUGUGUAUUUUUUACAUCUUCAACAAUGAAAAUAUAUUACAUUUACCACAAGGAAAAUAUCCUUACAGAUUUUUUUAAAAUUCAGGAUUCCAGAUGAACUUCAUUCCCUUUAAUCAUUCUGUUUAAUAAAUAAACAUCUCAUUCCAUAAAUUUUUGAGUUGCUCAACCCCGAUAUCAGAAAGUACAGGACAUUUUCAGGCAAAUUUUCGUAUUUUUGGCAGAGAUGGACUAUAGAACUGGUACAACUAUACGUCGGAUACAGUAUAGUGUGUCUCUUCCCUUUUCAGUGAGAUAGGGAAAGUGUGUGGGUGGAUUUAUCUUAAUCUCACACUGUGUCUCCACAGUAGACACCCUUCUCCACAUCCUAAAUAGAAAUUUCCUAAACAUAAAUACAAAGACCUUCCCUGGCUUCUAUUUUGUAAAUGGAGAUAACUUUUUGCUAUUUCACCAGUGUCUCAAGAAUAUUUGAUUUUUCUUUUCUUUUAAUUUUUAAAAAAUAUUUAUUUUUGAAAGCUAGAGAGAGCAUGAGUGUGAGUGACUGAGGGGCAGAGAGAGGGACACAGAGAAUCCAAAGCAGGCUCCAUGCUGUCAGUGCAAAGCCUGAUGCGGGGCUUGAACCCAGGACCCACAAGAUCAUGACUGAGCCAAAAUCAGACUCUCAACUGACUGAGCCACCCAGGUGCCCUAAGAAAAUUUGAUUUUUCUGAAGGUAAGAGGAAAACAAGCAUGAACACAUUUCUCCUUCCCUAAGAAAAGCAGUAUUAAAAGGAAAUAUUUCAGGCUAAAAUGGCUAUUGCCUGGUACUAAAUAUUAGAUGUGAACUGGCCUCCAUCUGUUGGAAUGAGUGACAUGUCAGGCAAAGGAAGGGGAGGGAGGAGUGCUUAUCUGUGGGAAAGGAGAGAAAUUUCCAGUUUCUGGUUACUGGGCUGCCUUACUUAAAACUCUCUUUGAAUAAAUAUUGGCAAGUGGCCCAGAGUCCCAACUUGUGGCUGUUUGAGCUUUGCUAAAGUGCUUGAAGGAAAGUCCUGAAUUGUUGUUCUUAAAUGGAAACUGUGUAAGUCAUUUGUAGUGGAAAGGAUGACAAAAGAAAAAAAAAAUCCCUUCUUACAACAACUUUGAUUCCAGCCAUUCCCCUGAUGAAUUAUUUUGUUUAUUUGUGUAGAGGUGUAAUGCAAACAUUUCUGCUUUUUUUUCCCCCAUAGUGCUUUCCUGAAAGCCACGUCUUCAAACAAAUUGUUGAAAGUAAUUCUUACUUUAUCAGGAACAAGGUUACACUUGGACUUUGUAUUUUUGAUAAAGAAUUCAGCAUAAACAAAGUUUGAUAUAACCAACACCCUAAUCAGUAGUACUAACUUACCUUUGGCAUUUUAUAAUUUUCUAAAGCACUUUCUUGUAUGUACAUUAAUUUGAUUCUCUGACAAUGCAGAGAGGUAGAUAUUAUUGUCCCUAGUUUAGAAGUGGAUAAAAUGGGACCCAGGAAGAUGAACCAACCUACUCAGGAUCAAUUUAAUUGGUGGUUGAUAGAGGGGGCUAUCCUCCACCCCUUCAGUAGGACCAGAGGUACUUUCUGUUGCCCCCAAUGGACAGAAGACAGCUACUAUGUAAAUUAGCACACCCCACCAUCUUGAAGUUAGUGUCAAUUUUUAGUCAGAUCCACACUUGCAUUUCUUUAUAACUUCAAGGCCAAAUAACUCAUCUACACCAUUCAUUCCUGUUCUUAUUACUUACCCUCAAACUCUUUACUCGUACAUAAAUUUUCUAUGCUUCUUUCCCCCAGCUUCUUUCCACCGCUGACCUCUUUGAAACUCUUUCCACUGCAGAAGCCACAGUUUCAUCGUAAGCACUCUCUACAGCCUCAACAUCCUCAUAGAGCCAUACCUUCACUUUCUUGCCUCAAGUGAAACCUGGCUUUUCCCCCAAAGACAUCACUUCCCUUGAGCCCUGACAAACAAAAACUGCUUUUUCCCCUGCCUUUCAACAUGCUGAGAGGUAUGUGGAUGCAGUGUUGAUAUUCUCCUAGCUUCUAGCUGUCAGUUCCAGGUGAUUCCAUUCUUACCUGUAUGAAACUCCCCACUUUAUGCCCCCUUCUGAGUCUCGUGCUGUAGCAUGAAGUGUAAUCAUCAUCAUCCACCAGCUCAAGGUCACUCCCCCAGAUUCACUGAAAGCUUCAGCACCUGGCCCACACAAAUGCUGCCAGACUCCCACUGUAAUCUCAGACAGCCUUCAUGCCCAUGAUUCACAGCUCCUUAAGCACCUGGAUUCCAUUGCCCUUUGCCUCCAUUCCUCUUUAACCCAACUCAUUCCUGUGGCAAAAUCCUAAUUUUAUGUUUACUCACAUGCUCUGAAAACCAGAACUCUAGUGACCCUUCACACCUCUGCAACUUUGACACUUUCCUGACUUCUUAGUAAUUUCUGUUCUUGAUCUUUCUUCAAUUCUUUGAGUUGCCCUCCCAUCUUCACUUUCAUCCUUGCCCAGCAUAGAUCCCAAAGGCCCAUAAGUUCUCCGACUGUGGCUUCUGGGUACCCACCGUGCCCUCCCUCCAUCUUUGCUAUACUCCCAACCAACUCGCUCUCUUCUCUGGUUAUCUGAGUGGUUAAAGGCAUGGGCUGGGGAAGCCUGUUUCUAUCAUUUGAAGACUUUUUCCACCAUGUAAUAAUUCUACCUUGGACAAGUCAUUAAUUUUUCAGGGCUUCCAUUUCUUCAAUUGGGAAAUAGUAGUAUCUUACCUCCUGACCAUCAUAAAUUAUUGUGAAUAUUAAUUGAGAAUAUAUGUAACAUGCUUAGAAUAGUACCUAUCUCAUAAGUACUCAAUAAAUGUUUAAUAAACUGCUUUAUGAUGUUUCUUAAAAAAAAAUCACGUAACCAGAUUAAUAAGUACCAAUACAUGCCCAAAUCUGCAAAGCAAAAUGUAAUCCAACAAACAUCCUCUUUUUUCACUCCUUCCCUAGAUACUGCCUGCUUCAGGGAGACUUUUGAGACAAUACCUUUGUAGGGCCUGAGAACCUCUGAUUACAUCAUAUUAAUUAUUUGUCCUCCUCAUCAGAAGUAGAUAGGAUUAGCAGGCUGACUAAUGUUUAUUAUUUGUAAGGCAGGAAUAGCAAGGAUUUCAUGUGAGCACUUCCCAGAAGACAGACUAGAAGAAACAGGCAGAAGGCAUAAAUAGGCAUCUCACAAGAGAGAAAACAUGGAUGACCAAGAAACAUAUUAGAAGAUGUUCAUCCUCAUUAGUAGGGAAAUGCAAAUUAGAACUACAAUGAAAUAACCUUGCACACCCUUGAAAAUGGCAAAAAUGAAGAAAUUUAACAAUAUCAGAUGUUGGACUAGGUAUUCUUAUGGUGGGCAUGUAAAUGAUACAAUUGCUUUGUGAAACAUUGUGGGGUUUUGUAAACCCAAUAUUCACAUACCCCAGGGACCAGCACCUCCAUCCAUUGAGAGUCUUUCACAUUUUGUCGACCAAACAUAACAAAAAGCACAAAGCUGCAAAUAACCCUAUCCACUGACAGGAGAAUGGAUAAAUAAUGGAUAAAUAGUGGUAUAUUCACCAGAGGAAUAUUUAACACACACACACAGUAAAAUAUAGCUGCAGUAACAACAUGAACGAAUCUUAGAAACACCGUUGAAGGGUAAAGAAAAAACAAGUAAAUGUAUGUAUUAUAAUAACACUUUAAAUAUAUUAAUCUAUUUAAUUCUCAUAAUAUCUCUUUGAGGAAGGUACUAUUGCUCUCAUUUGACAGAUAAGGAAACUGAGGCACAGAGGAAACAGUUACAGAUAAGAAACCAGCUAAUAAGUGGAGGUUGCAGGAUCUAGUUAACAUUUACUACAUGCUUACAUAGUAUCAGACACUGUAUUACCUUGCCCAUACCCACAUUAUCUACUUUAUGAAAGAUGCUCUUAUAAAAUGUCCUUCUUCGUUGUUUUUGUAUUUGCCUGAUAAAUCUUCCUAAAUAAACAUAAUAAGUUAGACUAGAGAAUCCACUGUAUCAUUUGACUUAGCACUCUUCUCUCAAUCCCAUAACCUAAGUGCAAACUCAAUGAAUAGUUUCCUCUUCAUUUAAAUGGUCUUCAGAACCAUUUUCUAGGAUUUGCUUUUGGAAACGAAAUGUAACCCCCAGCCAGUGUCCUAAAUCCCUGAGGCCCUGGAAUUUCCCUACAGCCUACAUUUUUCAGAAUGCCAAUAACUAAGAGAUCUACAAAUGAAGGAAUUCUUCUCCCAAGGGCAACCACACAUGCCACCACCAUCACGACCACCACGCCCCCAAAAUCUCUUCCCGUCUUCUCUCACUUAUACCCUAAGACCUAAAGGAAAGUACCUGAGGAGCUAGAGGAAGGAUUAUUCUUUCCUGCACCACAAUCUUAAGACACAUGCUUGGAAGUUUGUGAUUGAAUAUUGUAUGGGGUGGAGGAGGGGGAAGAGAGCCAGGAAUCCAAAACCUGUGGUUCAGUCCCAACUCUGAUGCUUAGUUGUGGAAUGUUGGGCAAAUCCAUUAACUUCUCUGGGGCUCACUUCCUUCAGUAAUGCACUUCAGUUAAACUUGACAAACAUUUAUUGAAUGCCUCCAGGGUACCAUGCACCCUGCCAAACAUUGGGGUUAUAAGGAUAGAUAAGACCUGAUUGGCCAUAAGAAGAGCUCCCAGCCAUUAAGGAGCUUUCUGUCUAGAGUAGAGGACUGUGGAUUUUGGUGCCUCAGGUGGUGAAGCAGAGUGUGGGUAACCAGGUAGUAGAGAUAUUGCAGAGACUAUACAAUGUCAGUGUACUGCUAUGGUUAAGAGCUCAGCUCUGGGGUCAGUCAUAACUAAACAUAUCCUGGCUAUAACCCUCAAGAGUUCUGUGACUUCAAGCAAGAUUUCUUCUCCUGAAGAAUCAGUUUCUUCAUCUUUAAAACAGAGGUAAUAAUUAUACUGUCUUCAUUUUGAGGAUCAAAUAAGAUAACACAUAUAAAAAUGGAAGGUGAGUCAUGAUCAGUAAAUGUUACCUGUCCUCCUCAUUCUUCCCUUAGCACUGUUAUUACUGUUAUCACAUCAGUUGUUCCUUAACAAGGCAUUGUGACACGGUUUGGAGAUCCAGGAAGUUGUUCAUCAACACUGCUCAGCUCUAGCUAACUCACUGGGGGAAUAAGAUGAACAUUCAGUUCUUGUCCCAAAACCUUUCCUGAAGACAUUGACAUGCAUUAACAGGAUGAUUACUGGCUAGUGCAAAGUGGAAUUUAUCUUCGAGGAGGUUAUUUCUAAAUAUUCUGAAGUAUGAGAGGGGUGUGUAAUUUAGCAUAGCAUAAGCAAGAGGAUAAUUUUAGAUAAGGUGAAGGAUUGUGUUGAUACAUACUUUUGGAAGAUGUUUACGUGAGGAGUGGAUAUCAUGCUAAAUAAAUUUGAUCUAAUAAAUUAGGGCCCAGAAGUUAUAAUGAAAGUGAUUAAUAAAUAUGACUACAAAGCAAUUAUAAUUAAGAAACUCUUCAUGUAUAUUAAAAAUAUAACCUGAAUGAAAUAUAUUUUUUAACAUUUAUUUAUUUAUUCUGAGAGACCGAGCAAGCACACGAGCAGGGGAAGGGUAAAGAGAGAGGGAGAGAGAGAAUCCUAAGCAGGCUUUGUCUGCACUGGCAACACAGAGCCCAACUCAGGGCUCAAUCCCACAAACCGUGAGACCAUGACUUGAGCUGAAAUCAAGAGUCAGACGCUUAACCAACUGAGCCACCCAGGCUCCCUCUGAACAAAAUAUUAUGUGUAUAUAUAUAUGUAUAUAUAUGUAUAUAUAUAUGCGUGUAUAUAUAUAGUGUGUGUGUGUGUGUGUGUGUGUGUGUGUGUAUGGCUGAUUUUGUGACUAUGCAAAGAAUGCUUACAAAUCAGUAAGAUGAUGAAAACUUAAUAGAAAAAAAUGCAAAGGACUUGGACAACAUUCAGGAAAAACACAAAAAUAGCCAAUAGAUGUGGGAAGAUGUUCAACAUCAUUGAUGUGAAAAAAAAGAUAACAUUUUAGCAAAGAUUAAAAAGAGGAACAUAAUCAGUGUUGGUGAGAGUGUGAGGUAACUGGCAUACUCAUAUAUAGUUGGCAUAAACAAGUUAGUGUAACUUUUAUGAAGGAGUAAUUAAUAGUAUCUUUUUAAACAAAAAGUGUAGUAUAACUGACUCAUUGCUAAAAAUUAUCUAAAACAUAUCAUUCAUAAAGGCACUAUAUACACUAUAUAGAAGGAUCUUACUCAGAAUUAUUUGUAAUAGCCAAAAAAAUUCUAUCAAUGACAAACUGUUUAAAAAUGACAGACCCAUGCAAUGAAGAAUGAAGUGCAUAUACUGAUACAAAAUGUUCACAGUAUACUGUUAAAUUUGAAAGACAACUGAAGAACAGUAUGUACACUAUGCUUCUGUUAAUGUGAAGAAGAUAUAAAUAUGUGCACAGAAGUGAUCCAGAAGGAAACACAAGGAAGUUUGAUGUUUUUUACCUCUGGGAAUGCAAGGGAGAUAUGUCUGCCUUUUACUGAAUUGCCUUCUAUACUGUUUGAAAACUUUAUCAUGAACAUGUAUUACUUUUGUAAUAAAAAAAGGAAACAAAACCUUAGUAAAAAUAUCUAAAGAGCAAAUAGGAGCCAUUUCAAUGUGUCUGAAAAUAGUUUUCAUAAGUAAGUUGCUCUCUUAGAAAAUGAAUUUUCCUUUGCAACUCAUAUCAUUAGUUUUUUUUCUCUCCAUUUGAAGGAAGAAUUCCUUUAUUAUUUAGUAAUGAUUACUUUAUGCUGAGCACUAUUUUGAGCAUUCUAAUCAUCACAGUGGUCUACAAUCAUGGGUGGUCAUUAUUAUUAUUCUCACUUAAAGAAAAUGAGGCACAUGAAAGUUAAAUUACUUAACGAAGUUCACAUAAAUAGUAAGCUCUAGAGCUGAGAUUCAAACCCAGAAUGUUUGGCUCCGGAAUCCAUGCCUUAGGCACUAUGCCUGCUCCUUUUGAAGUCCUUAGAAGCUUUGAGUUCUACCUGGAUGAUCUGAUAAUGGGACCUAUGCCUUAUACGGUGAACUCUCCCUGUGGCACCCCAGGUCAAACCUAUCCACUGUUCUGACCCUUUGGAGAACCUAAUAGAGAAACAAGAUGCUGCAAGAGGACAAGAUGAGGCCUUGCUGGGUAUGGAGUAAUAAUGGGGCCUUUUAACAACUCUAAAGGUUGACACAAUACCUCAACACAGAAUAUCUCUGUAGAAAUAUCCUUACUGUUAACUGGAGUCUUCAAAGAUGAAAGGGCUGAUCUGAGUCAGCUGUUAGGUAAAAUGCUGUUGAUCCAUCAGCUAGUGGAGAUUGAGGUUAAGCCAAUAAGGAUUGCUGUAGGGAAUAAAGGCUGAACUCAUUGGCUUAAUUCCAUUGUUUUCAAAGUAUGUCAAGGUAAGGAGGAUUAUUUUUUUUAGCUGCCAAGACAUGAGAAAACAUGCCAUGUCAUCCAAGUUUAUUGAAUGUGAAUGUGUUUCUUGUUGGUGUUUCUUGUUUAGCGUUUUCCUCAAGGGUUACUAAGAAGCUAAAUCAGGGUUCCUUUUUGUAACCCUAGAAGUGGAGUGGUUGAUCAAAUGAUGGGCCCUUUCUUGUUGACGAAUAAAUAGGACAAUAAGAUCAUCUAAUGGUCUUUAAUGCUUUUUGAUCACCCUUCUAACAUGUUGAUAGUGAAAAUUUUCUCCACAUGCAAGGUUCUCUGGGUGUGCAUGUUGCUAGCGGGCAUCCCAGCUGGCAAGCUUAGUAAAGAAGAUUGGUCACCAAAUAGAACUUAUUUGAGGCACUUUUUUUUUCCACCAGCCAUUUUAUUAUUCUUUUAAAUUUUUUUCUGUAACAAUGGAUUUUUUAAUUUUUAUUUUAUUUUUAAUUUUUGAUUUUUAAAAAUUUACAUCCAAAUUAGCAUAUAGUGCAACAAUGAUUUCAGGAGUAGAUUCCUUAGUGCCCUUUACCCAUUUAGCCCACCCCCCCCACAACCCCUCCAGUAACCCUCAGUUUGUUCUCCAUAUUUAUGAGUUUCUUCUGUUUUGUCCCUCUCCCUGUUUUUAUAUUUUUGUUUCCCUUCCGUUAUGUUCAUCUGUUUUGUCUCUUAAAGUCCUCAUAUGAGUGAAGUCAUAUGAUUUUUGUCUUUCUCUAAUUUCACUUAGCAUAAUACCCUCCCAAUUCCAUCCACGUAGUUGCAAAUGGCAAGAUUUCAUUCUUUUUAAUUGCCGAGUAAUACUCCAUUGUGUGUGUGUGUGUGCGCAUACACACACAACACAUCUUCUUUAUCCAUUCAUCCAUCGAUGGACAUGUGGGCUCUUUCCAUACUUUGGCUAUUGACAGUGCUGCUGUAAACAUGGGGGUGCAUGUAUCCCUUUGAAACAGCACACCUGUAUCCCAUGGAUAAAUGCCUAGUAGUGCAAUUGCUAGGUCGUAGGGUAGUUCUAUUUUUAGUUUUUUUGAGGAAAGUCCAUAGUGUUUUCCAGAGUAGCUGUACCAUCUUGCAUUCCUAAUUGAGGCACUCUUGGCAGUUCAUUAUUCUUUGAUGAUUCUGAAACUGGAUGCACAAUUCUGUGUAAGGAAUAACUUGUUUUUCCUUCCUGUGGUUCAUCAUGCAUUGUGGAUGGGUGCCUGGUGAGGGAUAUGGCAUCCUACAGGACUACCAUUAGCAGUAGAAUGUCCAGUGUAGGAACAAAACACAUGUUGAUGGCCAUGGCAGAAAAUCUUGAUUUGAAACAAGGCCUGGGAGAGGUUUUCAGUAAUCCUAUAGAGAUUCAAGUUUUCAGUGUGGAAGGAUUCAGGGAACUCAGCUCCCUGGUUGCUCACCUAAACAGUAAGACACACACUGUUAUUUUAGGUGGUGCCACACAUGUAGAUAAUAGCAUAAAUGAAAGGACUCAGAACUAAAAGUUCUCUUCUGGUGAGGAAAUAAUAAUCUGAGUUGAUUGCUGAUGAAUUGCUGAUGAAAUACAAUUAGGCUGUGUCAAAUCUUCAUCUAGAACUGUGCUGUUCAAAAUGGCAGCUGCUGACCACAUAUGGCUAAAUUUAAAUGAACUAAAAUUAAAAAUUCAGCUCCUCAGUUACCCAAGUCCCAUUUCAAGUGUUCAACACUAUUAAUGGUAGCUAGUGGCUACCAUAAAGGACAGUGAAAAAUUUACCUCACUGUAGGAUGUUCUAUUGAGCAGCACUGAUCUAGAAAAUAAACAAUAGAUCCUCAAAGAUAUUUUAUCAAGAAACACCAUUUUGGUGGUUUGAUUGACCACGCCAAGGAGACCCUAUCUAGUUUUUAUUCUGAACCACUAGAAAUUUGAAUUAGAAAGGAGAGUAGUAAGACCUUAGAUUUUGGUGUGAAUUGUAAAGACUAAUUUUCUCAGUAAAGACACUUUUGUUAGGGAAUCACUAUGGAUAAUAGUCCUAGGCAAGGAGGUGGGAGCAGAGGAUGUGAUGCUCUGAGGUUAGGGUUUCCUCUGAGAAAAACUGUGUGACCCAAUUGGGCAGAAGGAAGUGGUCAGAGGAACUUUUGAUAUUUGCAUAAGGGGUAAGUGUAACUGACCUAGAAUUUCUGGAACUCCCUUUGGCUUAGACCUCCUUUUCUUUCUUUGUAUGCUUAUAUUUGUAAAAAUAAGUUAGGCAUCUUAAAAAGAACAUGAAUCUUAGCUUCCCUUUCUUGUUUAAGAGACUCUUAAUGCCUUCCUCAAAAGCAAAGUGUUAUUUUGUUAGUCUUGUUUCACAAGGCUUUAAAACUUUAAAAGGAAAUAAAGAAAAGGACAUAAAAUAAAGGGCAAUAAUACGUCUCACACUCAUUCAGGAUGUCCCUGGUGACUUGUAGCAUGGGCAUAGAUCUAAACCAUUUUCAACAGAGCCUAGUGAGACAUUAGUUUGCCCCCUUGCACCCUAGUCUUUUGAUGUAGAUUCAUGAACUGAGAAAUUGAGAAGCAAUGAAGACUGACAUCUUCAUCUGUAGGACCUAGGGGGCAGAGACAGGAUAGCUGGGAUCAAAAAUAAUUGAUCGGAGGGUAAGAUCCUUCAUUGAUAUUAGGAAGUAGGUUAAGAGAGAUGUUAAAAAGAACUAUUCAAAGAACAGCUAGAAGGAUUAAGAACAGAGAAACUGGUAGGUAGAGCCAAGAGUUAUCUCUAGUAACUGUGGGUUUUCAUGAGCUGAUGAGAAAGUAAGAGGGUGGCUACUGGGAACAAAAAGGGACUUUCCAAGGCAGCAGUAAAACAUGAAUACUGGACCUUGUUUAAUCUUGCAUAUUUCAUCAUCCUCUCACACAAGUAAAACUUCUAGCAUCCAAUAAAUACCUGUUGAAUGAAUCCUCGGGAAAGAAAAUCACACUGGAUGCAUAAAUUCCUUUAUUGAAAAUAUUGGGCUAGCACUGCAUUACAUAUACUCAAUAUCCAUAAAUGAAGGGCCACACAUUUCUGAUUGGACAAUACUGUUUUAAAUAGAGAACACAGCAUCUGGAUAUGCUCUCACAAGUAUAAUAUCAUGGACUAAACUAGGUAGGAGUGAACUAUAUGCAAAAAGACCAUUUUGUUCAUUAAUAGCAUAUGGUUGCAAAUGGCAUAAAUGGUAAACUUGAUCAUCAUGAGACAUUCCUGAUAUCUCACACCAACACACCAUUUAACGAGCAGAUUAAGGUUAAACUGUCAAUAUGUUGUUAAUCAAGAGUUGUCAAUAAGAGAACCUGGGUGAAAGCACACCAGGCUAUAUAUUUAAGAUUUAAUAGAAUUCAUUUCAACUUGCAUGGAAUGUGAGUAGGGUAAAAUAAUUGCUGAUCUGACAGGAGGCCACUUGGCAUUUGUUCUCUUUUGUAAAUAUUCUAAUAAGAGAAUAAUCAAAAUUAGGAAAUAUUAUGCCAGCUUAAGGCUACAUUCUAAAGAUGGUUUCAUUUUUUUAAAUGCAGGUAUAUAAAUACUACUUGUUAUUUAUGUUCCCUUUCAAAGAUCACAGGAGGUGUAAUUUAUGACAGACCACUUCUCAGCUUUGUCUAUUAUUUAGAAUUUUUUUCCAUUAGCAGUCUUUGGCUUUCAUAAAAGUUUGGCAAUCAGUAAUAUUGUUUAGUUUUUACCAAGGCUUUAUUAGCAUUUUUAACAAAGAAUAUUUUAUGAUGUGAAAAUGGGUUAAUGUUAGAAAUAGUUUUUACUUUUUAUUCCAAUUUUUGUAUGAAUGCAUUUCUUUGCAUUGCUUUUUCUCAAAUGAAAGAGUCUAGAAACCAAGACAAUUGGGCUAAUUUGACAUUUUUCAUUUGGUAUAAAAUAUGCAGAAAUGAAAACAUUCAGUCUCUUUGAAAACAGAGGCCUGUUCAUUAAUUUAAGAACUUGGGGGAAAUUAUGCACAAAACACUAUGAAAAUAAAGUUUUUGUUAUUAACACACAUGAUAUUAUAAGAAGCAAAACACUUUCUGUUCAAAGCAGGGUUUGUUCUAAGUCUAGAUUCAGAAAGGUAUCCAUUUCUGUAAAUAUCAA
Acinonyx jubatus (cheetah) is the source of this 13391-nucleotide long non-coding RNA. RefSeq lists it as uncharacterized. Lineage: Eukaryota; Metazoa; Chordata; Mammalia; Carnivora; Felidae. The transcript is spliced from 4 exons. The record is from RefSeq and is a predicted model, not a curated record.